Molecule: ribosomal RNA, 1121 nt
Filed under: Pseudomonas aeruginosa
Lineage: Bacteria; Pseudomonadati; Pseudomonadota; Gammaproteobacteria; Pseudomonadales; Pseudomonadaceae
Description: bacterial SSU rRNA
Rfam family: Bacterial small subunit ribosomal RNA
Source: RNAcentral
GGCGGACGGGUAGUAAUGCCUAGUGAAUCUAGCUGGUAGUGGGGGAUAACGUCCGGAAACGUCCGCUAAUACCGCAUAGGUCCUGAGGGAGAAAGUGGGGGAUCUUCGGACCUUCACGCUAUCAGAUGAGUCUUAGGUCGGAUUAGCUAGUUGGUGGGGUAAAGGCCUAGCUAAGGCGAGAUCCGUAACUGGUCUGAGAGGAUGAUCAGUCACACUGGAACUGAGACACGGUCCAGACUCCUGCGGGAGGCAGCAGUGGGGAAUAUUGGACAAUGGGGAAAGCCUGAUCCAGCCAUGCGCGUGUGUGAAGAAGGGUCUUCGGAUUGUAACAGCACUUUAGAGUUGGGAGGAAGGGCAGUAAGUUAAUACGCGUGCUGUUUUGACGUUACCACAGACUAAGCACCUGGCUAACUUCGUGCCAGCAGCCGCGGUAAUACGAAGGGUGCAAGCGUUAAUCGGAAUUACUGUGCGUAAAGCGCGCGUAGGUGGUUCAGCAGUUGGAUGUGAAAUCCCCGGGCUCAACCUGGGAACUGAUCCAAAACUACUGCAGCUAAGGUACGGUAGAGGGUGGUGAGAAUUUCCUGUGUAGCGGUGAACUGCGUAGAGAUAGGAAGGAACACCAGUGGCGAAGGCGACUCACCUGGAUGAUACUGACACUGAGGUGCGAAAGCGUGGGAGCCAAACAGGAUUAGAUCACCCUGGUAGUCCACGCCGUAAACGAUGUCGACUAGCCGUUGGGAUCCUUGAGAUCUUAGUGGAGCAGCUAACGCGUAUAAUCGACGCCUGGGGAGUACGGCCGCAAGGUUAUAACUCACAUGAAUUACGGUGGCCCGCACAGGCGGUGGAGCAGUGGUUUAAUUCGAAGCAACGCGAAGAACCUUAGCCUGGCCUUGACUACGCUGAGAACUUUCCAGAGAUGGCUUGGUGCCUUCGGGAACUCAGACACAGGUGCUGCAUGGCUGUCGUCAGCUCGUGUCGUGAGAUGUUGGGUUAAGUCCCGUAACGAGCGCAACCCUUGUCCUUAGUUACCAGCACCUCGGGUGGGCACUCUAAGAGACUGCCGAGUGACAAACCGGAGGAAGGUGGGGAUGACGUCAAGUCAUGCAUGGCCCCUUACGGCC